This 800-nucleotide ribosomal RNA is filed under the name Microbacterium sp. RNAcentral describes it as "bacterial SSU rRNA". It matches the Rfam family "Bacterial small subunit ribosomal RNA", at positions 52 to 862 of the family's 1533-position model. The record is from RNAcentral. Lineage: Bacteria; Bacillati; Actinomycetota; Actinomycetes; Micrococcales; Microbacteriaceae.
CACAUGCAGUCGAACGGUGAAGCAGAGCUUGCUCUGUGGAUCAGUGGCGAACGGGUGAGUAACACGUGAGCAACCUGCCCCGGACUCUGGGAUAAGCGCUGGAAACGGCGUCUAAUACCGGAUACGAGCUGCGAAGGCAUCUUCAGCAGCUGGAAAGAAUUUCGGUCCGGGAUGGGCUCGCGGCCUAUCAGCUUGUUGGUGAGGUAAUGGCUCACCAAGGCGUCGACGGGUAGCCGGCCUGAGAGGGUGACCGGCCACACUGGGACUGAGACACGGCCCAGACUCCUACGGGAGGCAGCAGUGGGGAAUAUUGCACAAUGGGCGAAAGCCUGAUGCAGCAACGCCGCGUGAGGGACGACGGCCUUCGGGUUGUAAACCUCUUUUAGCAGGGAAGAAGCGAAAGUGACGGUACCUGCAGAAAAAGCGCCGGCUAACUACGUGCCAGCAGCCGCGGUAAUACGUAGGGCGCAAGCGUUAUCCGGAAUCAUUGGGCGUAAAGAGCUCGUAGGCGGUCUGUCGCGUCUGCUGUGAAAACCCGAGGCUCAACCUCGGGCCUGCAGUGGGUACGGGCAGACUAGAGUGCGGUAGGGGAGAUUGGAAUUCCUGGUGUAGCGGUGGAAUGCGCAGAUAUCAGGAGGAACACCGAUGGCGAAGGCAGAUCUCUGGGGCCGUAACUGACGCUGAGGAGCGAAAGGGUGGGGAGCAAACAGGCUUAGAUACCCUGGUAGUCCACCCCGUAAACGUUGGGAACUAGUUGUGGGGGACCAUUCCACGGUUUCCGUGACGCAGCUAACGCAUUA